Molecule: transfer RNA, 94 nt
Filed under: Cercophora newfieldiana
Lineage: Eukaryota; Fungi; Ascomycota; Sordariomycetes; Sordariales; Lasiosphaeriaceae
Rfam family: tRNA
About the family: Transfer RNA (tRNA) molecules are approximately 80 nucleotides in length.
Source: Rfam by way of RNAcentral
GUCGCUUUGGCUGAGUGGUUAAAGCGCUGCCCUGCUAUAUCUAGCAGUUCAGGCAGUCCCUUCGGGGGCGUAGGUUCGAAUCCUGCAGGCGACG